AGAGUUUGAUCCUGGCUCAGGACGAACGCUGGCGGCACGCUUAACACAUGCAAGUCGAACGAGAGAAGAGGAGCUUGCUUUUCUGAUCUAGUGGCGGACGGGUGAGUAACACGUGAGCAAUCUGCCUUUCAGAGGGGGAUACCGAUUGGAAACGAUCGUUAAUACCGCAUAACAUAAUUGAACCGCAUGAUUUGAUUAUCAAAGAUUUAUCGCUGAAAGAUGAGCUCGCGCCUGAUUAGCUAGUUGGUAAGGUAACGGCUUACCAAGGCGACGAUCAGUAGCCGGACUGAGAGGUUGAUCGGCCACAUUGGGACUGAGACACGGCCCAGACUCCUACGGGAGGCAGCAGUGGGGAAUAUUGCACAAUGGAGGAAACUCUGAUGCAGCGAUGCCGCGUGAGGGAAGAAGGUUUUAGGAUUGUAAACCUCUGUCUUCAGGGACGAAAAAAAACGGUACCUGAGGAGGAAGCUCCGGCUAACUACGUGCCAGCAGCCGCGGUAAUACGUAGGGAGCGAGCGUUGUCCGGAAUUACUGGGUGUAAAGGGAGCGUAGGCGGGAUCGCAAGUCAGAUGUGAAAACUAUGGGCUUAACCCAUAAACUGCAUUUGAAACUGUGGUUCUUGAGUGAGGUAGAGGUAAGCGGAAUUCCUAGUGUAGCGGUGAAAUGCGUAGAUAUUAGGAGGAACAUCAGUGGCGAAGGCGGCUUACUGGGCUUUAACUGACGCUGAGGCUCGAAAGCGUGGGGAGCAAACAGGAUUAGAUACCCUGGUAGUCCACGCCGUAAACGAUGAUUACUAGGUGUGGGGGGACUGACCCCUUCCGUGCCGCAGCAAACGCAAUAAGUAAUCCACCUGGGGAGUACGACCGCAAGGUUGAAACUCAAAGGAAUUGACGGGGGCCCGCACAAGCAGUGGAGUAUGUGGAUUAAUUCGAAGCAACGCGAAGAACCUUACCAGGUCUUGACAUCGUAUGCAUAGCUCAGAGAUGAGUGAAAUCUCUUCGGAGACAUAUAGACAGGUGGUGCAUGGUUGUCGUCAGCUCGUGUCGUGAGAUGUUGGGUUAAGUCCCGCAACGAGCGCAACCCUUACUGUUAGUUGCUACGCAAGAGCACUCUAGCAGGACUGCCGUUGACAAAACGGAGGAAGGUGGGGAUGACGUCAAAUCAUCAUGCCCCUUAUGACCUGGGCCUCACACGUACUACAAUGGCUGACAACAGAGGGAAGCAAAGCCGCGAGGUGGAGCGAACCCCUAAAAGCAGUCUUAGUUCGGAUUGUAGGCUGCAACCCGCCUACAUGAAGUCGGAAUUGCUAGUAAUCGCAGAUCAGCAUGCUGCGGUGAAUACGUUCCCGGGCCUUGUACACACCGCCCGUCACGCCAUGGGAGUCGGUAACACCCGAAGCCUGUAGUCUAACCGCAAGGAGGACGCAGUCGAAGGUGGGAUUGAUGACUGGGGUGAAGUCGUAACAAGGUA
This 1470-nucleotide ribosomal RNA is filed under the name metagenome. RNAcentral's name for it is "bacterial SSU rRNA". It matches the Rfam family "Bacterial small subunit ribosomal RNA". The record is from RNAcentral.